RNAcentral lists this transfer RNA (72 nucleotides) under Callorhinchus milii (elephant shark). Its description in RNAcentral is "tRNA-Leu (CAA) (tRNA-Leu-CAA-12-1)". It matches the Rfam family "tRNA". From Rfam's summary of the family: Transfer RNA (tRNA) molecules are approximately 80 nucleotides in length. Their secondary structure includes four short double-helical elements and three loops (D, anti-codon, and T loops). Further hydrogen bonds mediate the characteristic L-shaped molecular structure. tRNAs have two regions of fundamental functional importance: the anti-codon, which is responsible for specific mRNA codon recognition, and the 3' end, to which the tRNAs corresponding amino acid is attached (by aminoacyl-tRNA synthetases). tRNAs cope with the degeneracy of the genetic code in two manners: having more than one tRNA (with a specific anti-codon) for a particular amino acid; and 'wobble' base-pairing, i.e. permitting non-standard base-pairing at the 3rd anti-codon position. Lineage: Eukaryota; Metazoa; Chordata; Chondrichthyes; Chimaeriformes; Callorhinchidae. The record is from Rfam by way of RNAcentral.
AGUCCUGUAGCUCAGUGGUUAGAGCACUUACCUCAAAAGCAAGAGACCUGGCUUCGAUUCCCGGCAGGGCGA